Molecule: ribosomal RNA, 868 nt
Filed under: uncultured archaeon
Lineage: Archaea
Description: bacterial SSU rRNA
Rfam family: Archaeal small subunit ribosomal RNA
Source: RNAcentral
CUCCGGUUGAUCCUGCCCGACCCGACUGCUAUCAGAGUGGGACUAAGCCAUGCGAGUCAACAUAGCAAUAUGUGGCAUACGGCUCAGUAACACGUAGUCAACAUGCCCAGGGGACGUGGAUAACCUCGGGAAACUGAGGAUAAACCGCGAUAGGUCAUCACUUCUGGAAUGGGUAAUGACUUAAAUCUAUAUGGCCCCUGGAUUGGACUGCGGCCGAUCAGGCUGUUGGUGAGGUAAUGGCCCACCAAACCUGUAACCGGUACGGGCUCUGAGAGGAGGAGCCCGGAGAUGGGCACUGAGACAAGGGCCCAGGCCCUAUGGGGCGCAGCAGGCGCGAAACCUCUGCAAUAGGCGAAAGCUUGACAGGGUUACUCUGAGUGAUUUCCGUUAAGGAGAUCUUUUGGCACCUCUAAAAAUGGUGCAGAAUAAGGGGUGGGCAAGUCUGGUGUCAGCCGCCGCGGUAAUACCAGCACCCCGAGUGGUCGGGACGUUUAUUGGGCCUAAAGCAUCCGUAGCCGGUUCCACAAGUCUUCCGUUAAAUCCACCUGCUUAACAGAUGGGCUGCGGAAGAUACUAUAGAGCUAGGAGGCGGGAGAGGCAAGCGGUACUCGAUGGGUAGGGGUAAAAUCCGUUGAUCCAUUGAAGACCACCAGUGGCGAAGGCGGCUUGCCAGAACGCGCUCGACGGUGAGGGAUGAAAGCUGGGGGAGCAAACCGGAUUAGAUACCCGGGUAGUCCCAGCUGUAAACGAUGCAGACUCGGUGAUGAGUUGGCUUAUUGCUAACUCAGUGCCGCAGGGAAGCCGUUAAGUUUGCAGCCUGGGGAGUACGGUCGCAAGACUGAAACUUAAAGGAAUUGGCGGGGGAGCA